Molecule: non-coding RNA, 444 nt
Organism: Myotis lucifugus (little brown bat)
Lineage: Eukaryota; Metazoa; Chordata; Mammalia; Chiroptera; Vespertilionidae
Source: the annotation of a RefSeq genome assembly
AUGACCUCCACCAUGGCCUGGGCCCCUCUCCUCCUCACCCUCCUGGCUCACUGCACAGGAUCCUGGGCCCAGUCUGUGCUGACUCAGCCAUCCUCAGUGUCGGGGUCCCCGGGCCAGAGGGUCACCAUCUCCUGCACUGGAAGCAGCACCAACGUUGGGUAUGGUGACUAUGUGUCCUGGUUCCAGCAGCUCCCAGGAAAGGCCCCCAAACUCCUCAUCUAUGAGAGCAGCAAACGACCCACAGGGAUUCCGGACCGAUUCUCUGGCUCCAGGUCUGGCAGCUCAGCCUCCCUGACCAUCACGGGGCUGCAGGCUGAGGACGAGGCUGUCUAUCACUGCUCAUCACCAGACAGCAGUAGUGGUGGUACUCACAGUGCUCCAGGCCUGUGGGGAAGUGAGACAAAAACCCCUCAGGUCUGCGAGGGGAUAAAUGCCAACGUCUGA